GCGGGAACUGCCAUUGGCAGCUGGCUCUCCCCUCAGACGGUGCCGGUCCCACAGCCGCUGCGCUUCGGAGCUGUCCGGGCAGCACCGAGACGGAACCGCGGCACGACGGGAGCGGUGCUGAGGACAGCGGCGCCGGAGCCGGGAGGGAUGGAGAGCGGCACCGGGACAGGGAAGGAAGCGUGCGCAGCCAUCCGCCACUUUCGUGUGGGAACAUCGAGGCAUGUGAGUGGCUGAGAAAUGGAGUUGGGACUCGGGAGCAAUGGAGCAAUGGGUGCCUGUGUCACAACCUUCCUCAGCGGCCCUUGCAAGCUCCAGCUCCCCUUGCCUGCAAGUGGAGCAAUGCUCAAGUUUGAGGAAUCUUUUCCUCGGCAGGCGGUAAAAGACGAUGCAGCUGCAAGUUUCGUGUCCUUCGUUGUUAUUGGAAAGCAGCUUCCUUGAGAGCAGGAGAGCAGCGGGCUGCCUGCUGUGUGGUGCUGAAGGGCAUUUCUCCCAGCUGAGAUCCCUGAGCCCAUGCUGGUGGGGAACGUGCUGCACCGUGGUCUCUUCUGUGGAGCCGCUUUGCAGCUGCUCUGUGCGCUGGCUGUAAUCGUGCCAGUUUCCAGGUGCCAUAAGGCAGACUGGCACAGUCUUGGGACUCCGUCUGGCGAGACAGUGAAGAAAGCCAAGGCAAGUGCUGCUCUGCUGAGGAAGGAAGCCCAGAAGGAGAGCAAAAAGAAGCAAGAAGGGCUUGAGCGAGA
Long non-coding RNA from Tympanuchus pallidicinctus (lesser prairie-chicken), 737 nucleotides. RefSeq lists it as uncharacterized. The transcript is spliced from 5 exons. The record is from RefSeq and is a predicted model, not a curated record. NCBI's taxonomy places the organism in Eukaryota, Metazoa, Chordata, Aves, Galliformes, Phasianidae.